CGGGCCAAAACCUGUGGUGUAAUCUACCAAGGUACGUUUAGCACAACUUUCUCCUUCACCAGUGUGGGAAGCCAUUGUGUUGAUCUCUAGAGAAGGUUCUCUGGAUAAUGUGUUUGUCCUUGGCCUUCUAUUGGUCUCAAACCCUUUAAGAAGAGGUUCAUAAUUUUUGCUCCUGGUUUUGACACAAUCCUGCACAAACAAACAAACAAAAUACUAGAAGAUAUUGUUAGCACAAAAAAUAAAAUGCAAUAAAACAAAAAUGGAAAUUAGGCAUUUGAAAGAUAAAAAUAAAAAUCAAAAUAAAAAUGGGAAGAAUAAAAUAAAAUAAAAUAAAGCCAAAAUUAAUCAAGAUUCACACAAAUAAAAUAGCUUAAACCGUGAGUCCCCAACAACGACGCCAAAAACUUGUUGGGGCAAAUCGGCAAGUGUACCGAGUCGCACAAGUAAUAUAAAAUGGUAAGACCAAGUAUCGUAUCCCAGAGGAC
Molecule: long non-coding RNA, 485 nt
Filed under: Vigna radiata
Lineage: Eukaryota; Viridiplantae; Streptophyta; Magnoliopsida; Fabales; Fabaceae
Description: long non-coding RNA (VRAD_LNC006849)
Source: RNAcentral